This 391-nucleotide ribosomal RNA is filed under the name Chrysophyceae sp. RNAcentral's name for it is "partial small subunit ribosomal RNA". It matches the Rfam family "Eukaryotic small subunit ribosomal RNA", at positions 582 to 975 of the family's 1831-position model. The record is from RNAcentral. Lineage: Eukaryota; Chrysophyceae.
AUUCCAGCUCCAAUAGCGUAUACUAAAGUUGUUGCAGUUAAAAAGCUCGUAGUUGAAUUUCUGGAUGCGAAAGAUGGUCGGCACCUCACGGUGUCUGCACCUAUCAUUCGCGUUCAUCCUCGGGAGGAACGUGUGGUCUCUUUAGUGAGCCCGCUCGGGAAUCUCGUCAUUUACUGUGAGCAAAAUAGAGUGUUCAAAGCAGGCUUAUGCCGUUGAAUAUAUUAGCAUGGAAUAAUAAGAUACGACUUUGGUCUAUUUUGUUGGUUUGCAUUCCAAAGUAAUGAUUAAUAGGGAUAGUUGGGGGUAUUCGUAUUCAAUUGUCAGAGGUGAAAUUCUUGGAUUUAUGGAAGACGAACUACUGCGAAAGCAUUUACCAAGGAUGUUUUCAUUG